UAGGGAAUCUUCGGCAAUGGACGGAAGUCUGACCGAGCAACGCCGCGUGAGUGAAGAAGGUUUUCGGAUCGUAAAGCUCUGUUGUAAGAGAAGAACGAGUGUGAGAGUGGAAAGUUCACACUGUGACGGUAACUUACCAGAAAGGGACGGCUAACUACGUGCCAGCAGCCGCGGUAAUACGUAGGUCCCGAGCGUUGUCCGGAUUUAUUGGGCGUAAAGCGAGCGCAGGCGGUUAGAUAAGUCUGAAGUUAAAGGCUGUGGCUUAACCAUAGUACGCUUUGGAAACUGUUUAACUUGAGUGCAAGAGGGGAGAGUGGAAUUCCAUGUGUAGCGGUGAAAUGCGUAGAUAUAUGGAGGAACACCGGUGGCGAAAGCGGCUCUCUGGCUUGUAACUGACGCUGAGGCUCGAAAGCGUGGGGAGCAAACAGGAUUAGAUACCCUGGUAGUCCACGCCGUAAACGAUGAGUGCUAGGUGUUAGACCCUUUCCGGGGUUUAGUGCCGUAGCUAACGCAUUAAGCACUCCGCCUGGGGAGUACGACCGCAAGGUUG
RNAcentral lists this ribosomal RNA (550 nucleotides) under uncultured bacterium. RNAcentral describes it as "bacterial SSU rRNA". It matches the Rfam family "Bacterial small subunit ribosomal RNA", at positions 355 to 896 of the family's 1533-position model. The record is from RNAcentral.